Molecule: ribosomal RNA, 858 nt
Filed under: Atrocalyx guttulata
Lineage: Eukaryota; Fungi; Ascomycota; Dothideomycetes; Pleosporales; Lophiotremataceae
Description: eukaryotic LSU rRNA
Rfam family: Eukaryotic large subunit ribosomal RNA
Source: RNAcentral
CAACAGGGAUUGCCCCAGUAACGGCGAGUGAAGCGGCAAGAGCUCAAAUUUGAAAUCUGGCCCUCUCAGGGUCCGAGUUGUAAUUUGUAGAGGGUGCUUUGGCGUCGGCCCCGGCCUAAGUUCCUUGGAACAGGACGUCACAGAGGGUGAGAACCCCGUACGUGGCCGCCGGCCUUCGCCGUGUAAAGCCCCUUCGACGAGUCGAGUUGUUUGGGAAUGCAGCUCUAAAUGGGAGGUAAAUUUCUUCUAAAGCUAAAUACUGGCCAGAGACCGAUAGCGCACAAGUAGAGUGAUCGAAAGAUGAAAAGCACUUUGGAAAGAGAGUCAAAAAGCACGUGAAAUUGUUGAAAGGGAAGCGCUUGCAGCCAGACUUGCCUGUAGUUGCUCAUCCGAGCUCCCGCUCGGUGCACUCUUCUGCGGGCAGGCCAGCAUCAGUCCGGGCGGUCGGAUAAAGGCUCCGGGAAUGUAGCUCCCCUCGGGGAGUGUUAUAGCCCGGGGUGCCAUGCGACCAGCCUGGACUGAGGUCCGCGCAUCUGCUAGGAUGCUGGCGUAAUGGCUGUAAGCGGCCCGUCUUGAAACACGGACCAAGGAGUCUAACAUCUAUGCGAGUGUUUGGGUGUCAAGCCCGGGCGCGCAAUGAAAGUGAACGGAGGUGGGAACCCCUCGGGGCGCACCAUCGACCGAUCCUGAUGUCUUCGGAUGGAUUUGAGUAAGAGCAUAGCUGUUGGGACCCGAAAGAUGGUGAACUAUGCCUGAAUAGGGUGAAGCCAGAGGAAACUCUGGUGGAGGCUCGCAGCGGUUCUGACGUGCAAAUCGAUCGUCAAAUUUGGGCAUAGGGGCGAAAGACUAAUCGAACUA